This 4345-nucleotide long non-coding RNA is filed under the name Pan troglodytes (chimpanzee). Its description in RNAcentral is "long non-coding RNA NONPTRT009313". Lineage: Eukaryota; Metazoa; Chordata; Mammalia; Primates; Hominidae. The record is from RNAcentral.
GGGCGGGGAGGGGGGUGCAGGCUGGGAGGAGCCAUGGAGGCUGAUUCCUUCCCCUUCAUGGGUUCUCUUCUCUUCCUCCCCGGCAGCCCUGCCGUCGGCUCUGAGAGCCUGUAGUGUAUGAGGUUGCAUCUCAGAGUCCCGCUGCCCACUGGGCCCUCUCAGUGCAUUGGGUUUGGUGUCUCCUCUCGGGUGGGUGUGGGUUUGGUGUCUCCUCUCGGGUGGGUGUGGGUUGUGGGUUUGGUGUCUCCUCUCGGGUGGGUGUGGGUUUGGUGUCUCCUCUCGGGUGGGGUGUGGGUUUGGUGUCUCCUCUCAGGUGGGUGUGGGUUUGGUGUCUCCUCUCGGGUGGGGUGUGGGUUUGGUGUCUCCUCAGGUGGGUGUGGGUUUGGUGUCUCCUCUCGCGUGGGGUGUGGGUUUUGGUGUCUCCUCUUGGGUGGGGUGUGGGUUUGGUGUUUCCUCUUGGGUGGGUGUGGGUUUUGGUGUCUCCUCUCGGGUGGGUGUAGGUUGUGUGGGUUUUGGUGUCUCUUCUCGGGUGGGUAUGGGUUUGGUGUCUCCUCUCUCGUGGGGUAUGGGUUUGGUGUCUCCUCUCUGGUGGGGUAUAGGUUGGGUGUCUCCUCUCGGGUGGAUGUGGGUUGUGUGGGUUUUGGUGUCUCCUCUCCGGUGGGUUGUGGGUUUGGUGUUUCCUCUCAGGUGGGUGUGGGUUUGGUGUCUCCUCUCGGGUGGGGUGUGAGUUUGGUGUCUCCUCUCGGGUGGGGUGUGAGUUUGGUGUCUCCUCUCGGGUGGGUGUGGGUUUGAUGUCUCCUCUCUGGUGGGUGUGGGUUGUGUGGGUUUGGUAUCUCCUAUCGGGUGGGGGGUGGGUUUGGUGUCUCCUCUUGGGUGGGGUGUGGGUUUGAUGUCUCCUCUCGGGUGGGGUGUGAGUUUGGUGUCUCCUCUCGGGUGGGUGUGGGUUUGAUGUCUCCUCUCCGGUGGGUGUGGGUUGUGUGGGUUUGGUGUCUCCUAUCGGGUGGGGUGUGGGUUUGGUGUCUCCUCUCGGGUGGGGUGUGGGUUUGAUGUCUCCUCUCGGGUGGGUGUGGGUUGUGUGGGUUUGGUGUCUCCUCUCGGGUGGGUGUGGGUUUGAUGUCUCCUCUCCGGUGGGUGUGGGUUUGAUGUCUCCUCUCGGGUGGGGUGUGAGUUUGGUGUCUCCUCUCGGGUGGGUGUGGGUUUGAUGUCUCCUCUCCGGUGGGUGUGGGUUGUGUGGGUUUGGUGUCUCCUAUCGGGUGGGGUGUGGGUUUGGUGUCUCCUCUCGGGUGGGUGUGGGUUUGAUGGCUCCUCUCGGGUGGGUGUGGGUUGUGUGUUUGGUGUCUCCUAUUGGGUGGGGUGUGGGUUUGGUGUCUCCUCUCGGGUGGGGUGUGGGUUUGAUGUCUCCUCUUGGGUGGGGUGUGGGUUUGAUGUCUCCUCUCGGUGGGUGUGGGUUGUGUGGGUUUGGUGUCUCCUCUCGGGUGGGGUGUGGUUUGCUGUUUUUUGUGAACGUCUCCUGGGUCAUGGUGUGAAUGUCCCACUCUGCCUGAGGGGGAGAUUCGCCCAGCUCUCAUUUGCCCUGUUUUCUCCUGACCCUUUUCCUCCUUUCUGUGUCUUGGUUCUGUCCUCUUGGCUUCCUGCCUUCCCUAGGUUCCUUACUGCAUUUUCAGCGCCUCCCCUCCCUCGGACUGUUUGCAGUUUAUUCAUUUCUGAGAUAAUUUUGUCUCUUCCUUCCAUUACUUUCUUAAGUCCAGUCAACUCUUAUUUCCUUUUGGUGUUACAUUUGUAAUUUUAUGGUUUUUAUAAAAAUUUGUCUCCUAGUUUUUGAGGUUCUGAUUUGAGGUGAUGAUUUUCAUAUCCUUAAGUGCACACUUAAGCAGAUUUUCCUGUAUUGAGAGUGUUGUUAAUUUUCUUGUUGUUCCAGGGUAGGUUUUUCUCUGAUGUGUGUGGAGCCCCCAUUUUCUGACUCUUCUCUGACUUUCCCGUGGCUCUGGGUGGCUUUACCGCCUCUGUCCCUUUGCCCUGGUGGCCUUGGGGUAUUUGCCAGAUCUGUGGUUUCCUGGCGCCCUCUGCUGGCCGCAUGGGGAAGUCCAGGUCUUGAGCGGGUCCUUGCUGGUGUGCAGGACGGAAGUUGUCCUCCAGUUCUCCCGGCCCUUUCCUGCAGGACCCAGAACUUCCCCCUUUCCUUCUUUUCUGCCUCACCACCCAGUGGCCAAAGGGCUCCUCUCAGGACACGCUGUGUUGCCUUGACAACCCCUUCCCGUCUUGUGCUCAGUGGUCCUGCCCUGUGGUCUGCACUGACCUUCCUGGACACCUCUCAGGCCCUGGGACUUGGGGUGGCUUAGCCUUUCAGCAGUGGCUUCCCACGGACCCCUGUCCCACCCCGCCCCACCGCGGCCUUGCAGGGGAGAGACUGGGGGGUCAGGCUCAGGCGUGUGUUGACUCUGCGCCGACUUGCAGUGAUUUUGAAGUCUAGGCGCCCUCGUCCUGUGCAGACGGCGAUGCUGGUGUAAACCUGUGUUCCUUGCUUGUGCUGAACUGUGUUUGGAAGAGAGGCUGGGAGACAUCAGCUCGGCAGCCACGUUGUCUUCGGCCUCCCGGAAGUGAUGCUAACUUUCUAAGCUGUGUGUCUGAGUGUUUUUCGCUACUACUGCUGUUCUUCAAAACGUGCUGCCAGUGACCUGGCCUUGUGUGUGUGACACCCCGUAAAUGGUUAGGCACGGAGAGGGCACGUACGCGUUCGGGGCGGAGGUGGCUGGAGUGUGUGCGGCAUAGGCUAUUGUUACCCGCUGCCCGGGGCGGCUGUGGGCACAGCAUUCUCCACCCAUUGCUCGGCUGGGGCUCCGUGGCGGAAUAAAGGACGGACCAAGGGGCUCCUGCCCCAGGAGCAGACGCGCUCCUCCCGGACAGCCCCCAGGUGCUGACCGUGCGGGGCCUGACGUUCGGGUGGCACAGACCCUGCACCAGGCAGUUCCGCGGACGGCGACUCUGCAUUUGGCUUCGAUACUGAGUGUCUAUGGCACAUAUGCGGUGGAGAGACCUCCUCCUUUCAUUUGAUCCUUUUAAGAGCCCUGUGAUGGGGCGAGGGCUGUCUGCAGCGCCAUGUUUCAGAGGUGGAGACCUGCAAAGGGAGGGUUCAUGUGGGGUCGGGCCCCGGCUCAGUGGUCCCAGGCAGCUCGGGUGUCGGAACCCCCAGACAGUUCACGCGACAAAGAAUCACGCGGGUCAACCUCAGGGACCUCAUAUUUUGUUUAGAAAAUGAACGUGAGACAAGCCAUUCACUGCUGCUCUACAAAGCAUUCCUUAAGUGACACAGGAGGACGCCUGGGGACUUUUUAUAUAUUUGCAGAUUACGCCUUUUUGUAACAAGCAAAUGGGAUAUUGUUUAAAAAACAGCCACCUCUUUACAAUGGAACAGUUUUAUAUUCCUGUUUCUAAAUCAGCUCUUCAGUGUGAAAGAAAACACGUUUCUGUAACAGAGAGAACACAAAGGCCUGUGGAUACUCUUAAAGGACAACUAAAUCUUAACUCAUCUUGAUUGAGUGGCCUUCUUGCCAAACAAGCCAUAUAUAAAGACUGAUGGAAUCGUUAGCAAAUAAUUAGCUGCCCUCUGUCAACUCAUAGCAGUUUCUGCAUUAUUUGUGCAUUUUGGUUUAGUUCUACCUAACUUACUAUGUAGGUGUAUGUCUACAGCCGAUGACCUCAUUUCGUUUAUUUUAUUUUUGUAAUAGUCAGUUGGCAAAGCAAACUGAUUUUUUAGACUAUUUAUCUUCCUUCCCUUCCCCUCCCACCCCGCUCUCCUCUCUGCCCCCUGCCCUCCCCUCCUCUCCCUUCCCCUCCACUCCGCUGAGAAUCCUGGAGGAAUACACAAUUCAUCGUUGCACCCCCACCUCAGAGUGUAAUUGCAUUUCUGCUUGGUAGAGGCCGAGCCCAGCAAAGGUGGCUCCUUCUGAAUGUGUGGUCAGCAUCUGUACAAAUGCAUUUUAUUUGCUAUAGUUUGUAAAGCUGUAAAGUUAAAAGAGAUGAAAACCUUUUCAGCAUAAAUAUAUUUUACUUGCACUGUGUUUUUUAGCUAAAAGUGAAAACCUAGAUUAAAUAAAAUCAAAGUUGAGAAGAAUCAUCAAAAGACUGUUUCUCGGUGUGAAUCAAGUGUUGAAAAAUGGUUGGUGUAUUUUGUCAGUAAUUGUACAUAACUUUUGGCACAUGACAUAGAAAUGGCUAUGUAAACUAUAAUUAUUUUGCUAAGAGACUGUAUGCAAGCCUUGGGCCGACUUUACAGACGUCCAGAGCAAAGCCCCUUCUUUGUACCUAUUUUUUUAUUACAAAUAUACUAAUUGGUUCUUUCUAUUUU